This 429-nucleotide ribosomal RNA is filed under the name Actinomycetes bacterium. RNAcentral describes it as "Actinobacteria bacterium partial 16S ribosomal RNA". It matches the Rfam family "Bacterial small subunit ribosomal RNA", at positions 355 to 776 of the family's 1533-position model. Lineage: Bacteria; Bacillati; Actinomycetota; Actinomycetes. The record is from RNAcentral.
UAGGGAAUCUUCCGCAAUGGGCGAAAGCUUGACGGAGCAACGCCGCGUGAGUGAUGAAGGUCUUCGGAUCGUAAAACUCUGUUAUUAGGGAAGAACAAAUGUGUAAGUAACUAUGCACGUCUUGACGGUACCUAAUCAGAAAGCCACGGCUAACUACGUGCCAGCAGCCGCGGUAAUACGUAGGUGGCAAGCGUUAUCCGGAAUUAUUGGGCGUAAAGCGCGCGUAGGCGGUUUUUUAAGUCUGAUGUGAAAGCCCACGGCUCAACCGUGGAGGGUCAUUGGAAACUGGAAAACUUGAGUGCAGAAGAGGAAAGUGGAAUUCCAUGUGUAGCGGUGAAAUGCGCAGAGAUAUGGAGGAACACCAGUGGCGAAGGCGACUUUCUGGUCUGUAACUGACGCUGAUGUGCGAAAGCAUGGGGAUCAAACAGG